RNAcentral lists this ribosomal RNA (450 nucleotides) under uncultured bacterium. Its description in RNAcentral is "partial 16S ribosomal RNA". It matches the Rfam family "Bacterial small subunit ribosomal RNA", at positions 354 to 796 of the family's 1533-position model. The record is from RNAcentral.
GUGGGGAAUUUUGGACAAUGGGCGCAAGCCUGAUCCAGCAAUGCCGCGUGCAGGAAGAAGGCCUUCGGGUUGUAAACUGCUUUUGUACGGAACGAAACGGUCCGGGUUAAUACCCUGGGCUAAUGACGGUACCGUAAGAAUAAGCACCGGCUAACUACGUGCCAGCAGCCGCGGUAAUACGUAGGGUGCAAGCGUUAAUCGGAAUUACUGGGCGUAAAGCGUGCGCAGGCGGUUUUGUAAGACAGGCGUGAAAUCCCCGGGCUCAACCUGGGAAUUGCGACUGUGACUGCAAGGCUGGAGUGCGGCAGAGGGGGAUGGAAUUCCGCGUGUAGCAGUGAAAUGCGUAGAUAUGCGGAGGAACACCGAUGGCGAAGGCAAUCCCCUGGGCCUGCACUGACGCUCAUGCACGAAAGCGUGGGGAGCAAACAGGAUUAGAUACCCGGGUAGUCC